Molecule: unclassified non-coding RNA, 260 nt
Filed under: Basidiomycota sp.
Lineage: Eukaryota; Fungi; Basidiomycota
Description: partial contains small subunit ribosomal RNA, internal transcribed spacer 1, and 5.8S ribosomal RNA
Rfam family: Eukaryotic small subunit ribosomal RNA (bases 1-47)
Source: RNAcentral
AAAGUCGUAACAAGGUUUCCGUAGGUGAACCUGCGGAAGGAUCAUUAAAGAGUUUUUAUGGGGUGGGUAAUCCUUAAUAGCAUUGGGGAACUUAGGGAGGAGGAGGGUAAGCUUUUAAGGCCUUAAGGGUUUUAAGGCUAAAGCCGACCUAAUUAACCGUGCUAUUAAGAUAACCACAACCUAUGCGUAUGUUGUGUUUGACUGUGUAAUAAGUGACUAAGAGACAGAGAUAACUUUUAACAAUGGAUCUCUUGGCUCUC